RNAcentral lists this ribosomal RNA (773 nucleotides) under Fusarium oxysporum. RNAcentral describes it as "SSU rRNA". It matches the Rfam family "Eukaryotic small subunit ribosomal RNA", at positions 101 to 883 of the family's 1831-position model. Lineage: Eukaryota; Fungi; Ascomycota; Sordariomycetes; Hypocreales; Nectriaceae. The record is from RNAcentral.
UUAUAUAAGUUAUCGUUUAUUUGAUAGUACCUUACUACUUGGAUAACCGUGGUAAUUCUAGAGCUAAUACAUGCUAAAAAUCCCGACUUCGGAAGGGAUGUAUUUAUUAGAUUAAAAACCAAUGCCCUUCGGGGCUCACUGGUGAUUCAUGAUAACUCCUCGAAUCGCAUGGCCUUGUGCCGGCGAUGGUUCAUUCAAAUUUCUUCCCUAUCAACUUUCGAUGUUUGGGUAUUGGCCAAACAUGGUUGCAACGGGUAACGGAGGGUUAGGGCUCGACCCCGGAGAAGGAGCCUGAGAAACGGCUACUACAUCCAAGGAAGGCAGCAGGCGCGCAAAUUACCCAAUCCCGACACGGGGAGGUAGUGACAAUAAAUACUGAUACAGGGCUCUUUUGGGUCUUGUAAUUGGAAUGAGUACAAUUUAAAUCCCUUAACGAGGAACAAUUGGAGGGCAAGUCUGGUGCCAGCAGCCGCGGUAAUUCCAGCUCCAAUAGCGUAUAUUAAAGUUGUUGUGGUUAAAAAGCUCGUAGUUGAACCUUGGGCCUGGCUGGCCGGUCCGCCUCACCGCGUGUACUGGUCCGGCCGGGCCUUUCCCUCUGUGGAACCCCAUGCCCUUCACUGGGUGUGGUGGGGAAACAGGACUUUUACUGUGAAAAAAUUAGAGUGCUCCAGGCAGGCCUAUGCUCGAAUACAUUAGCAUGGAAUAAUAGAAUAGGACGUGUGGUUCUAUUUUGUUGGUUUCUAGGACCGCCGUAAUGAUUAAUAGGGACAGUC